CGUGGCGUAGCAUUUGGAGUGGAGUUUCAUGUGGUGUGAGGUUCGAAGCUUCAGACUGUUGCCCAGCUCGAAGCCAGAGUGAGGUGGAGGGUUCAUUUCACUCCUCGCUUCCUCACGGCUGGCUGGUGUCCUUGGCGCUCUCUCCUCGUCUGGUCUAAAGACAGUCGUGGUGGAGGUGGUGGCGGCAAGCUGGCGACAGUGGUGGUGGUGGUGGUGGGUGUGCUGGAUGGCUGGCUCAAAUCAGCACAGCCACAAGACCCACAGCGUGAGAUGAUGGAAGGCACACACACACAGGCCACAGCAGUCGGUUUUCUGUUGCCUCGUGGUGUGUAGGGUGGAGAGUGGUGAGCAGGAGAGAAGGAAGGAAGGAAGGAAGUUGGUUGCUGCUCCACCUCCAGGGCCAUCAAGGGCUGUUUGCCUAGUGUACUGUGUGUCCGUCACUUCCACACAGGUGAGCAGCUGUGGAGUGGAGUCUGGCUUCAACACACAACACUGGGUGGUUUGGGGAGGUAGUGGUUUGAUGAGGUGAUGUCCAGGGGCAUGCCAACUUCACAAGACACUCCUCCAGGCCCCAGGACACUUACUCAGUCCCCCACCCUCACCCCUCCACACUGGCAAGACACUCAGGCACCCCAGAAAGAGACAACAGUGAAGUAGUUUUUAGUGUUUAUUAAGUCGCUAAAAAAGAUGGAGGUAAUCAGAAGUGACCCUUAAUCCUCACCACACAGCACUGACCACCCCUGCCCUUCUGCGCGCUCUCUCUCUCUCUCUCUCUCUCUCUCUCUCUCUCUCUCUCUCUCUCGCUCAGCUCAGCUCAGCUCAGCUCAGCUCACAAUCCCACAGUAUGUUGGCUUAUGAGGGGCUUGACCUGUAUCAGUGCAAUUAACUAAUCUCUUUAAGCCGGACAAUUCAAACUUCUCACUGGCUUCUAUUUGGUGUCAGCCCGCGUGUGCCAACUGUAAAAUGUAAUCUUUAUAGUCUCCUAUAUAACUUAUUGUUGCGCCAAGAGGAAUUGCUCAGUCAGUCUGUAUACACCGUUAGAUUCCUGAAUCAUUGCCACAUAUUUCUGAAAUGUGCAUUUUCUGUUUCAUAGGUAUAUUAUAAAGUUUCUUUUGAAAGAAGAAUGUCGCAACAUAAGUAAGUAGUGCUGCUAGGCAAACGCUACCCCACCCCUACACACACGCACACACAUCCCUAACACACGCAUCUCAAGCUUACUAACAACAGACAGUGGUACGACAAGAUUAAGUCUUGUGUGGUUUACAAAAACAAGCCUCUUCUCUUCCCUGCGUU
Portunus trituberculatus (swimming crab) is the source of this 1293-nucleotide long non-coding RNA. RefSeq lists it as uncharacterized. The record is from RefSeq and is a predicted model, not a curated record. NCBI's taxonomy places the organism in Eukaryota, Metazoa, Arthropoda, Malacostraca, Decapoda, Portunidae. The transcript is spliced from 4 exons.